UCUCGCUCGCUCUGGUGUGAGCACGGAGCUGCGCCUCGGCCGUCCUGUCCGGCCGCCGCCGGCGGCGGCGAAAGCCACCGCGCCGCGCGCGCGUCCUCUUCCUUCCCCUUUCUCUGUUUCUCCCCAUCUCCCGCAACAGAGAGCGUGAGAGAGAGCAGAGAGGCGCAGCCGGCCUUCCCGAUGCGGCGGGUGGAGCCACGCCGGCCACCGGCGACGGCGUCGAGCCGCGCUGUGCGAGCCUUCCCUUUCCCCCUUCCUUUCUCUUUCCCUUUCUCUGUUUCACCCAUCCACCACCUCCUUCUUUUAGAGAGAGAGAGAGAGAGCCGUGAGCUGCGGUGCGCGAUACGGCGGCGCCCUCCCUGUCCCCUUUGCCGGCGUGCGCGAGCACCUCGAUGGUGAACGCGCCGCCGUCAAACGGCUCGGUGGCGGUGCCUGUACUUUGCCCCUAUGGGGGGGGGGGGGGGGGGUGGUUCUUCGUCCCUGUCGCCUCGGCUUGCCGAUGCGCGACGGGAUCGAGAGGAACAGGCGCGGCCUUACGGCGGCGCUCUUUUCUUCUUUGCCCUUCUAGGGUUCUUUGGGGGAGGGUAACUUUUUUCUUUGUGAUCUAUUUCAACUGAAAAAAUCCUAUACCCAACCUGUCUGAUACCAUUGAUAGAUCCAUGGGAUCGUGUAGGGUAGGAUUAGAUCCGGUGAACCUACCUUCUCCAGCAGUGGAUGAACUUGAGCCGGAGACCAUCGUGGUGCUGGGGCGCACGGCGAUGGCGGAGAAUGGGCGAGGUGGCGGAGCUUCCCGUGAGCACCGCGCUAACCCUAGAUCGGUAGGGAUUGUAGGUGGGGAUUGUGGCAGCGAUUAACCUUGUAAGUCGUGCCCCGGCCCCCACCUCUGUUUAUAUAGCGCGGGUCGCAGGGGCCCACCAACCAUGGUUUGGUUGGGCGCCCCCGAUCAGGGCGCGAGUCAGGGGCCCGUUCGACCCGUUGGGUUCGAACGGGAGAGAGAUCAACCUAACAUCUUCCACAUUUGAAGGCAUCAUAGUUUUCUUUCUCCGUAGAACUUGGUGUCUCAUAUGCCAUAUACCGAACAAAAACAUCCGGCUCUGUUGAUUUUCCUUGCUCUAAGUUUGACCGUCAAAGCUAUACUUUGGGAAUUCUGCAGUGGCAACUAUAGAUAUGGGUCUGGUUUUGAGUUUCCAUUUCUCCUCUUUCAUGCAAAGGUUGCUAUGUAUGGUUGAUUGAUUGAGCUUUACGGAUUAUGUUUCCUUCCUCUCUACCUUCAGCGAGCGCAAGGGUCAGCAUUCAGCAAAAGAUUGAGUGUAAUGCUUAACCAUGUUUGAAUUUAGCUUCUUGUUUUUUUCUCUCUUUUGAUUUUCGAAACGAGUAUAUGUUGAUUAUGAACUUAUUGCCCUCAUGAUAACUCAUUUUCCGGUUUUGAUUUUGUUUUAUGUUUCAUGGAACAGUGACAUUUAAGGUGUAUGGUAUCGAUGGGCAAGGGGGGAGUAACCUUCAGGGACCUGGUAGAGGUUUUAUGGGACCCAUAACAUUCUAACAGGGGCAUCCAUGUCAGAGCAAGAAAGAUGUGACCGUUUCCUCAUUUCUUCUUCACAUAACUGGCAUCCUAACAUCAAAAACACAUCAAGGGAGAAUAAAUACUUUUCCGAAGCGCUCCAUGCCACUCAAUCCAAGUACUGACAAAGGUGUUGGAAGGAGCCGGGUACACACAGGAUUCCACGCUAUCAGUAGAAGAUUUUUUGACGGUACAAAGCUAAACCUUGCUUACCUUUCUUAUCAUAGCUGUAAUACUGUGGCAGUUUUGUCUGAAUAAUAGAAAAACAUAGCUAAUUUGGUUAUACUAUUACCCAGUGUGGCUACUAGCACUCAUCUACAAUCUAUAUGGACAGUUGCAUAGCUAUAUUGUUUUUGUUCUGUAGUUAGGAUGGCGCGUGCAGGUUUCAGUAGAUGAGGAUGCAAGGAGCUCUCUGUCUGCUGGAAACAAGUGCCCAUAGCCAAUACAGCGUGCUGACAGAACUGUUUGAGUUCUUGCGUACCUGUCCACAUAAUGCCCGAAUCUUACAAUGCAGUGCCAAUUUAGAGUCAUUUUUCUUUCUGUGUUUCAGGGUAUUAAUGAUGCUGUGUCAAUAUAGAGUGCAUCUUGUUACAGUUUCCAAACUUUCAAAACGUUGCAAACUUAAAUUGUUAAGUACAGGAAGUCAGUAUUUGUACGGGAAAUCAUAAUCUCACCUUGGGUUCAUGUGAACUAGGUAUUUGUAACUUGGCGAAAAUUCAUAUAUAGUAUUUUAAAAAUUGUGAAAAAGCGUGCUGGACGACACACAUAACAUGUGAAAAGUGGAAAAUAUAAUUAGUUAUGCUACUUAUAUUUCCUUUUUUCCGUCAGCUAGAAAAUGCUCUUAUUUGCUCCCCAAAUUUCAAGAGUAUGUGUCUUCUUAUCCUCGAUAUUGAUUAUUGUUUUGACUUUUUUUAAACUUGUUGAUACGAUUUUCCGCUAAUGUUAAUGUGAAAUUCAGUAGACCCGCAGACCAACAUGCUUUUGAUAAUAAUCUUGCUCGUAAUUUGGUCGAUGAACCCUUAGAUGUCAUCGUAGAAAACCUUGCAAACGAUGUACUCCCUCCGUCCGAAAAAAGUUGUCCGCACCUUAGUUCAUUUGUAAUUUUGUGAAAAAACCCUUCCACCUUUUAAACUGUUGCUAAUCAGCCCCCCACUGCUUCUUCCUCCUUCCUCCGUCGCCCGCCCGCACCGUGGUCGCCCCAGCCACCACCGGCACCAGCUGUCGGGCCCAGAGAUCGACGACGGCCAACCUGCGCCGGCCACACGGAGACUGCUCAAGCUCCUGCUGCUCCGUGUUCAUCGAGAAGAACUGGAGCCCCCACCAGCGAGGCCCUGGCCCCCGAUCCGGACCCCAAUCCGCCCCCCGGCAGCGAGGCCCUGGCCGUGCUCUUCCUCCGUGCCUCUGGACUGCCCGCGGACUUCGCCGCCGGCGGCCACGAGAUCACCGGGAAAGACGAGGAUGAGGGGUACGUGACGGCCGCGUCCAGGGGCGGGAGCAGCACGGCCGCGUCCCGGAGGAGGGAGGAGUUCCAGGGGCUCGAGGAGUAGGACGGCUGCAGCGACGCCGGCCCGCCCAGUCCCAGCAGCAGCGGCUACGCCGGCGAGCAGGGGAAGAAGAAGGUCCUGCUCUUGCUGCUGUUGCUCCUCCGCCCGGAGCUCCUCUGCAGGACCGUCGGCUGCUGGUGGUGGUGGUGGUGGACGCCUCUGCUGCCACCCCUCUGCCCGUGCACGUGGCAGUGCUGCUACUCCUCUGCCCUGCUCCUUGUGCUGCCGCUAGAGCUUGUGUUCCUCAGGAAGAAGGAUGUAAAAUUCAGUUAAAAUUUCAGGGUUCAAUUAAUCUGUACUCCAAAAAUUUAUUGUGUAAUUUCAGCAAUGCAGCAUUGAGCCUGAACCUUUUUGACAGUACACAAGUUUGAAUUGUGAGUAAUAUCCUAAUCUGUAUAGUGACUGUAAAUUGUCCCA
This is a long non-coding RNA of Aegilops tauschii subsp. strangulata, 3522 nucleotides long. RefSeq lists it as uncharacterized. NCBI's taxonomy places the organism in Eukaryota, Viridiplantae, Streptophyta, Magnoliopsida, Poales, Poaceae. The record is from RefSeq and is a predicted model, not a curated record.